This is a long non-coding RNA of Symphalangus syndactylus (siamang), 2592 nucleotides long. RefSeq lists it as uncharacterized. NCBI's taxonomy places the organism in Eukaryota, Metazoa, Chordata, Mammalia, Primates, Hylobatidae. The record is from RefSeq and is a predicted model, not a curated record.
AUGAUUCAUCCUGAGAAAGCAGUCAAGUCCCAUCUGUUUCUCAGGACUCCCAAAAGACGUCCAGGCAGAAGAGUUCUGGGACCCGAGUCAGCAUCAAGUGCCUCGGACAUUUACUGAGCAUCCUGGCUACCCAGCGCCCCAGCAAGGAGGUAGAAAUCCACUAGGAAGCAAAUGAGAACAAAAAUUCACAACGCAAGCCAGAAGUGCCACAACAGAGGGUGCAGAAAAGCACCUCCAGCACCCAGACAAAAAAGGGGCUCACCCUGCUUGGGAAGCCAGAGAGGUAUAAUUUGCCACUAUGGUGUAAGAAACCACCAUUUCUGGGAACUACAACACGUUUGGCUGAGGAACAAAAGCACCUGCCAAACCACCACAGAAAGAAAAAAAAAAAAAAAUGCCCUGUUUGUUGGCUCCUGAAAAAAGUAAACAGCCGAAUGGAGUUGCAGGCCUCUAUUCUGAAGAACCCCAGUUUGGUGAGUUAAAGGUCUGCUUCCUGCCUCCAGUCAUCCCACACACAGCUGCUGGAGUCAUCGAAAAGUGAGCACCUGUUGAGUCACUCACCUGUUCAAUCACAUUAACAGCUCCCAAUUUCCUGUUCAGUCAGAUACAAACGCCAAAGUGCUCCAGUAAGGUUCAACAUCCCCUCGUAAUCCUCCCUCCCUCUACCUGGAAACGCUAAGCUCCUGCUAAACAGGAUCAGCUCCUGCACCCUAGACCUGCUGCCUCCUUUGCUCUUCUCCAGGCCUCACUCCUGACUGAACUCAAUUCACCCACCAGGGCUUACCUCCGACACCCCACUUCACAGAGCCUCCUGCCCUCCAAAUGGAUGUGGGCUCACAGCACAUUACUAGUCCCUCUCAUGAGUGGUUACAGGACUCGGCUGUGUUGAAGUCCUGUGUUCUUAUAUUUUCACCGUGGGUUUACACCAUGGGCUUCUUGAGGACAAGGUCUGCCUUUUUCAUUUUGGUGUCCUAUAGAACAGGGGUCCCCAACCCCCGGGCUGUGGACCCAUACUGGUCUGUGGACGGGUCCACGGCCUGUUAGGAACCGGGCCACACAGCAAGAGGUGAGCAGUGGGUGAGCAAGCAAAGCUUCAUCUGUAUUUACAGCCGCUCCUUGUCACUGGCAUUACUGCCUAAGCUCCACCUCCUGUCAGAUCAGUGGCAGCAUUAGAUUUUCAUAGGAGUGUGAACCCUAUUGUGUACUACGCAUGUGAGCAUAGUGUGGCAUGUUUCUUAUGAGAAUCUAAUGCCUGAUGAUCUGUUAUUGUUUCCCAUCGUGCCCAGAUGGGACCGUCUAGUUGCAGGAAAACAAGCUCAGGGCUCCUACUGAUUCUACAUCAUGGUGAGUUGUAUAAUUAUUUCAUUCUACAUCACAAUGUAGUAAUAAUUAUAGAAAUAAAGUGCGCAAUAAACAUAAUGCACUUGAGUCAUUUCAAAACAUUCCCUGCCCCUGCUUCCCCGGUCCACAGAAAAACUUCCACGAAACUGGUCCCUGGUGCAAAAAAGGUUGGGGACUGCUGAUAUACAGUAUCUCUCACAUUCUAGGUUCUCUAAAUACACAUUCAAUUGAGUUAAAAAGAGGCAAAUUCUUUCAGCUCUAAGUUAGAAGAGAAAACAGGUUAAUUCUUAUGCUUGACUAAGUAAUAGGACACAGUUUUGUUGGAUACAGAUGACAUUACUUGCAGAAAUGAAGACUUAGAAAAAAUCAACUUAAAGCAUUAUGCGCAGGGAAAAGCAAAGCAGAAUGAAGUGGCUCAGGGUGAAGAUGCCCUGCCUGGGAACAAUGAAGCUGAAGGACAUGCCCUAACAUUCCACAGCCAAUGUGUUUCUCUCAAUUCUUGUGUGAUUUGUUGAUUUUCAUCUCUGGACAAAAUAGGAAAUCCUGAAGUUUGAAGGACUCUGUUUCAUUUUAAAAACAUUAAAAGGCUUAAAUGUGAUGGAGAUACAGUACAGAUGACGUUCUUGGAACCUGUAAUAAAACACUCUACAGUCUUCCUGUGGCCACACACUCCUGAGAGAGCUGGUCUUUGCGCUGUUUAAAGUUCCUGCUGAUCCAGGCAGGGCCCAUACAGGUGGGGCAGGAUGGCCUGUGGUAACCCAGCUGCCAUCAUCUAUGGACGGUAACGAGGUUUGCUGCUGAAUUCACAAGAUAAUGUGUGACCUUCUGACAUAUGCCAAUAUUUUUCCAUCUAGCAUACUGUUUUGGAACACUUUAUUAAGGAAGGAAAAACAUUGGCUGCGCUCAUGAAAGUAAUGAGUCACAGAGCAGUGACGAAAGAGAACGAUGCUGUUCAGACCCGAACCUCGGGCCAAAUGAGAUUUAUUACUAGACAGAUUAAAUAAUAUAGAUGACUCUGAAAGUCCCAAAUCCUGGGAUUUGCAUGGCUUUAUCUGGAAAGAUUACUUUGGAAAUCAAAUACAAUUUCCCAGCUGUAGGGCUUGACUCUGCUAGUUACCACCAGGAAGAUCAGAUCAUAACAUGGACGCACGGUAUGUUAAGUAAGAAAGAAGCUCAGUCUUUAUUCCCCUCACCGUAACAACCCAAUAAAGUGGUUAACUUGGAUGAAUGUCAAAUCUUACAGCCCUCUAU